RNAcentral lists this ribosomal RNA (497 nucleotides) under uncultured bacterium. RNAcentral's name for it is "partial 16S ribosomal RNA". It matches the Rfam family "Bacterial small subunit ribosomal RNA", at positions 28 to 507 of the family's 1533-position model. The record is from RNAcentral.
GAUGAACGCUGGCGGCGUGCCUAAUACAUGCAAGUCGAGCGAACAGACGAGGAGCUUGCUCCUCUGACGUUAGCGGCGGACGGGUGAGUAACACGUGGAUAACCUACCUAUAAGACUGGGAUAACUUCGGGAAACCGGAGCUAAUACCGGAUAAUAUAUUGAACCGCAUGGUUCAAUAGUGAAAGACGGUUUUGCUGUCACUUAUAGAUGGAUCCGCGCCGCAUUAGCUAGUUGGUAAGGUAACGGCUUACCAAGGCAACGAUGCGUAGCCGACCUGAGAGGGUGAUCGGCCACACUGGAACUGAGACACGGUCCAGACUCCUACGGGAGGCAGCAGUAGGGAAUCUUCCGCAAAGGGCGAAAGCCUGACGGAGCAACGCAGCGUGAGUGAUGAAGGUCUUCGGAUCGUAAAACUCUGUUAUUAGGGAAGAACAAAUGUGUAAGUAACUAUGCACGUCUUGACGGUACCUAAUCAGAAAGCCACGGCUAACUACGUG